RNAcentral lists this transfer RNA (68 nucleotides) under Podarcis lilfordi (Lilford's wall lizard). Its description in RNAcentral is "tRNA.Thr". The record is from RNAcentral. Lineage: Eukaryota; Metazoa; Chordata; Lepidosauria; Squamata; Lacertidae.
GCAGCUCAGUAGGUUAGAGCGUGGUGCUGGUAAUGCCAAGGUUGCAGGUUCAAUCCCCAUAUGGGACA